GCAUCGAAGCUGACAUGGAAUGUGAUUUAAUGAAACGGUGAGCACGAGUGAGACAGACGAGACGAAAUUUGAAGUGCUUUGUAGGAAGAGGCCGAAACGGCGCGUUUUGAUUUUUUUACGAUGGCUCUUUGCCGUGCUUUAUCCAGCUCCUUCAACAAGCUCAACCUCCAUCUCAAUCUUGUCCAUCCUACAAUCAGCCACUCUCUCUACAACAAUGUUGCACGUCGAAGUCUCUCCUCCGUUAUGAUGAGGAUGCGCAUCAUAGAUCAAUGGAUGCACCAAUAAUAAGUGAUUUGAUUCAAUUUUGAAGCACUAUAUGGACAAGGGAAGGUAAAUCAAAAGCCUAUGAUAAAACGCAAGCUGAGCUCAUAGCAGUAAAAGAAAGUCUAACCAAAAUCUUGACAUCAAAGGAUUAAAAGCAACUUUAUUGGAGAUGGUUGAGCGGAAUGAACUCAAUAGAUCCUUACUGGCCCUUCUUGAUGAAAAUAUAGCAAAUGCACACAAGGGUAACCAGGUAAUAGCCAUUAGGGAACCCCCGGGCAGUCUAGUUUAAGUAGAAUUUUUUGUUGAGUUGUUUUGAAAUGUAUAGAAUGGGGAGGAGAACCCAGGAUCCUUCACAAGUAUACACAUUACUUUUCUAUGACAAUAAGUUGCACCAAGUUCAUGCAAUUAAGAAAUUUGUAGUAAAGUCUCUUGUGAAGUUACAGCCGCAAGCCAAAAUGGGAGAUGAUGUAUGAGACCACUCUCUCUCAUUGAACUGUUUGAAAUAAAUUACAAUGGCCCUCAAUUCUUUGUUC
Molecule: long non-coding RNA, 797 nt
Organism: Juglans microcarpa x Juglans regia
Lineage: Eukaryota; Viridiplantae; Streptophyta; Magnoliopsida; Fagales; Juglandaceae
Exons: 3
Source: RefSeq, a predicted model, not a curated record